This is a long non-coding RNA of Stegastes partitus (bicolor damselfish), 1084 nucleotides long. RefSeq lists it as uncharacterized. The record is from RefSeq and is a predicted model, not a curated record. NCBI's taxonomy places the organism in Eukaryota, Metazoa, Chordata, Actinopteri, Pomacentridae. The transcript is spliced from 2 exons.
CAUGUCUGGGGUGGGCUCAUCUGAUUCAGUGCCACCUGAGAGUCAGACUCAAGAGCCAGGGACAGACUCGGGGCCAGAAGAGCCGCUGCCGGCUAAAAGGCAGCGGCAUGACCCUGUCCUUGAACUGCUGCAGAGGGCAGAAGAGAGAGCAGAAGAGAGGGCCAGGCGAGAUGAGGCUCAAUUAUGUCUCUAUCUCUGAGACAGAAGUUGUGCAAAAUGGCACAACAUGCAAUGACCCUCACGGCGAAAACAGGAUGCACUUCCAGAGCCUUGAAAAACACGGAUCGCCACCUGGUCUUCAUGAUGCCAAAUGCCUGUUCAAUAACAGAUCGAGCCUUUGAUGUCUGUUGAACCUGGCUGCCACUGGAUUUCUCACUGGCUCUCUGUAUAGUGGUGAUGCGUGUGAUGGGUUGUGAUGUACAUGGGUAUCUACCAUCACCAAGAAGACAGUACCCCUCAGGUGGGUGCAAUCUGCCGACAUAUAACAGGCUGUUUUUAAGAACUCGAGAGUCAUGGACAGAACCUGGGGAACCGACAAAUAUGUCCAGAAAUGGACACUGGUGGUCACACACUGCUUGCAUUUGAAUUGAAUAAAAAAGUUUUCUAUUAAAAUAGCACUGAGCAUCAGCACUUGGUGGCUUGAUUCUGACUUGACAGCCAUCAGUGCUACCCACAACCUUUUCAAAUGCAGCCGAUCCCGCCAGACGUUGAAAGCCAGCACCAACUCUUGGAAGCUCGUCUGCUGAUGAAAAGCAGAUGACCCUGUUUUUGAGUGCGAUGACUUUGUCUGCAACCCUGUGAAUGAUGUCACUCACCAUAGAGUGUGGGAUGCCAAACGCUCUGGACACAACAUGGUCGGAGGUUGCACUUGCGAGCCAAAAAAGAAAUACCAGAACCUCCAAUUCCUGACCCGAGCCAUGGUCACAUGGAGAUCAGAGGAUGUGGGUUAGGUGGCUUAUUGUGGGUCUGGAGAGGCGGAAGUCAGGCCGCAGAUCACUUUGGCCAUCCAGGAAUAAGGCAAUGAGUGGAAUAUGACUGUUGAAGAUAUGAUUGUGUAUGCUGAAAAUAAAAAUAUUCAAACUUA